Molecule: small RNA, 88 nt
Filed under: Escherichia coli
Lineage: Bacteria; Pseudomonadati; Pseudomonadota; Gammaproteobacteria; Enterobacterales; Enterobacteriaceae
Also listed under: 2 other names
Description: partial RtT sRNA
Rfam family: RtT RNA
About the family: This family represents a bacterial cis-regulatory element known as RtT RNA. The exact function of RtT is unknown although it is thought that it may be involved in changing the cellular response in relation to amino acid starvation.
Source: RNAcentral
UCGACUCGAGCGAAGCGAGAGAACGUUGCGCCAGCAACGGCCCGCAGGGCGAGCCACGAAGUGGCGAGUAAUCCUCUAUCACCGACCA